Long non-coding RNA from Mus musculus (house mouse), 5020 nucleotides. RefSeq annotates it as predicted gene, 33033. The record is from RefSeq and is a predicted model, not a curated record. The transcript is spliced from 2 exons. NCBI's taxonomy places the organism in Eukaryota, Metazoa, Chordata, Mammalia, Rodentia, Muridae.
AGGGAGGGAGCGAACGAGAUAGCAGACUCCUGAGAGUGACCCCAGCUCUGUGACCGUGACUCACUCCUCUCCAGGAGCAGCAGAUACACUGCUCAUCCUCUCCAUCAAAGGAUGUGGGGAACUGUUCUGGGUCCCAAAGCUUCAGCAGUGGCCUUGGGCUAUUGACACACAGACAGGGAGAGCAGGGCAAAGGUCAGCUCUGCCUCCUCCGGGAAGGGCUGAGUUCUGGAGCAGCUGAUGGCUGAGCCACCAAAGCCUGAAGGAAGAGACAAAGCCAAGAGGUGGCACCGUGUGGGCUCAGGACCCACGGUGUAGGAAGAUAACCCUUCCGGUUCUGCAGAACCUCAGCCGGAAAUAUCAGAAGGAGGAGGGGCCAUUUACCUGCGGCUGUACAGCAGAGAAGUGGCCUGGCUGGCUUCAAACACCAGGGACCCAGAUCCUGACCCCAGUUCACUUCCCAGAAUUCCUUGCUGGAGACUACCUGAGACUGACAAGUGUCAUAAUUCUGGGUAGGUAGCCCUUAUGACUCCUCAGGGUCCAGAACAUGUUGGAAGUGACAAGGGCCAGUGGCACUGCCUGGCAAGAUUGAAGCCCACCCAGCUCUGCAGGCUGGUUACUGUGCAGCCUGAGGAAGAGCCUCACCCUCUCUGAUCUUCAGUUUCCCAGAUGUCCAGUGUGUCCUGGAAAUGUCAGUGGGGAUGCAGGCUCUGUAAGGAAGGGUGAAUGUCUGGCUCUCCGUGGAGCAUGGAGUUCUGCUACAUUGGGGUGGGGCUGUCCAGCGUCACUCACGUUAGGUGCCAAUUAAUUAUAGGGCCAGCUCCCAGUUCAGAUACUGAUGUUGCCGUUAGCAUCUGUGCGAUCAGAGACAUAUCCGUUCCACAGCACCAUUUCUGAUUUUUUUUUUAUCAAAUAACGAACAUAUACCAGGCUCUACAUCAUAUCAGGGACAUUUCUAAGUGUGGGAGACUCACUGAUGGACAAGGUCAUUCCUCUUCUGAGAACAGGUCAGGCCAUUCUCCACGUCCCCAGCAUCCAGAAACGCCUGAUGACAGAUGACAAAGAAACAGCUGAGGAGAUGGGUCAGAGGUGAGGCGCUUGCUGAGGGCCUCCAUGUAAAGCUAAGCACUAGAGAGGCGGAGACAGGAGGAUCAUGGGACUUAGCAGUAGCCGCUUAGCCUGCUUGGCACAGUCCAGACAGGUGAGAGACCCUGUCUCAGUGAACAGUGUGGACGAAACCUUAGGAAGGGCACCCAGGCUGACCUUCAGCUUCCACGUGGUCAUGCAUACACGUGCCUCUUACCUCCCAGCUUAGUCCUUAACCUUGCCACUCCAGUGUUGGGGGCUGGAGGGUUCUCCGUGCUGGGUUAUCCUGUGCAUAGUAGGGUAUUAUGUGUGACUUGGUCUGUGCCCUUGAGUUGCCAGAACAUCUCCAUGGUGGAGAUGUUUUCAGACAACCAAAGGUCUUUGGAGGGGGCAGGAGGAUCAGCUCUGACAAAACUAUGGCCAUGUACGUGGUGACAUCGUCAUGGUACACAGUGGGACACAGGUGAUACUCAAGCUGUUCAGAAAACAGAACUGUUACCUGUUCAGGGGACACUGUCUCUGCUUCCCCCUUGGGCAGUUGUCUGCAGAACUGCAUACUAGUAGCUCGCUUAGUAUACAGUAGGUGCUCGAUUCUGAGGAUGAAGAGGAGGAGGAGGGAGAAGAGAGGGCAAAGGCUUCUGGGACAGUGUGAAAGCAUCGGAGAGGUGAGUGCCCCUGGGACCCUUGGGGGUCCCUGCACCCACAGAGAACACAGGUUUGGUCCCUCAGGGGGAGCUAGCUUAGCCCUCAGCCCUCCUGAAUUUGAUAAUUAAGAUGUAUAAGUGUUCUGUGGCUGGAAGGCCAGAAGUGACCAGGCCUGGCCUUGCUUGGCUUUGGUGACGUGGUGGCCCUGAGACUAUGGCCUUCUUAGGCCCAUAAACAAGGAGUUGUGUGCCCCAAACCAGGUCAGCCAGGCGAAGGUCUGCACCAUGGCCUCAUGUUAAAGCCUCAUUGUCAGAAGAGGGCUCUCCAGUGCUGGGCAGCAAGGCUGCAGAAGGCACCUCAUUCCCAAGAGGCCACUGUCAUCUCCCUCUCUCCCCACAGCCUGUACUUUAUUAAUCCCCUGCUGUAUACAGGGCCAGCCAAAGCCUUUUCCAUAAUGUCCCCUUCCGCAUCAUGACUGGGGCUCUCUCUCUUGACCAGAUGAGAGGCUUUGACACUGUCAUCUCCAGGUCUGGGCAAUGCUCCCAGGCUCCCAGAGGUAAGCCACCGGUCACCAGGACACAGCUAAGUAGAGUGGAGGACUGGAGUCCUCUACUCUGGCCCUGGCUCUCUUUUCCAUGUCCGCCUAGCUUUCUCUGUUGUAUUGCCUGUGGUCUCGGUCUGAUUCUUCCUCUGUCUCCCCGCCCACCCCAUUAUCCACACCCUCUCUGCCUCCCUCUUCUCUCUCCAUGUUCCUUCCUCUCAGCCUGUCUCUUCUGCCCCCUCCAUCCCCGGUUCUCUGGAUGGCCCCACCUUGCCUCUGCUGCACUCAGUCUUUGUCCUGACGCCAGCACAUUAUGUCCCUGGUCUGGUCAGAGCCUGACGUCAGGCAGGGCCUGGCGGGCAGCCAUGGACACUGCUGCUGCUGUUGCUGCUGCCGGGCAGGCAGAAGAGCUAGGUUCCUGGUCCCCCAGCAGUGGCUGGUCCUCCACCUCAGCCUCAGCCUGCCCUGAAGAGGACAGUGCUCAGUGGCUGCCUUGCCUGUAAGUGGAGCUGCAGGCUGCUGGCUUUUUCUUUCUCUUCCUUGGACCCCCAGCUACACAAACAGCUCCUGCUGCUGCCAGGCCCAGAGAAUGGAUCUCACAGGGUCCAGUCCUGGCUGUGUGGCAUUAGGCAAGUCACACAGCUUCUCUGAGCCUCUGUUCUGUGUAAGAAAUGAGGCAGGCUAGGCAGUUCACCAAGCGGCUGGCUGGUGUCUGAAGGCCUGGCAAGCAUGGGUUUAAACCAUUGCCUGUCAAAGCCUUGCUUCUCCAGGAGAGGAUGGCCAGCUGAGCUAGGAGAAACUGAGGUCAUAGUGACAGGGCUCAGAUGGCCAUUGGCCAUUGGCCAUCUGUGCAGGCCUCAACGGUCCCAGGCAGAAGGGAGCCCUUUCCAAACUCCAAACAGGGUCCUGCUGAAUGGGACAUCCCAAGUCCAGCCUCUGGUCUCAGCCUGCCAUAGGCUAAGUAAGUGGGGUUUUUAGAAAGGCCUUGUUUUUAAGUCACACACACACGUGUGUGUGUGUGUGUGUGUGUGUGUAUGUGUGUGUGUGUGUGUGCAAGUGUGAGUACAGAUUCCCCACCCCCACCCCGUAAAGAGUUACAGGCAGUAGUGAGUCUCCUGAUCUGGAUUCUGGGAAUGGUACUUGGGACCUCUGGAAGAGCUAGAAGCACUUUUAACUGCUGAGCCAUCUCUCCAGCCUCCAAAUGCGUGCUUUGAAAAAUGCAGCGUCUCUCGCUCACAUCCCCACGUGUUUCUGAAGCAGCCGUGGCUCCGCUGAAGAGCGCUGAGGCCCCUGAUGACAUCAUCAGGAAGCUGAAGCUGCCUGGUGGUGAGGUAGCAUCAGGUUCAGACUUGGGUCUCACAUAGCCAGCGGCUUUGUGUCCCAAGUCUGUCGGGGUGAGUUUUGGGGGGUGAAAAAGGAGUAGACCCUAGGAGGACAGACAGAGCCAUGCUCUCCAGGGGGCCCAGGUCUCAGUGUGAUGAUCCGUCCUAUCCUGCACACUUCCUUCCUGUGUCUAGUUCUUAUUUGAAGCACGAGAGAAACAGACAAGUCCCAGAGAAACAGACAAGUCCCAGAGGAUAAACUGGGCAACCCAGAAACAUACUCUACAGCUUUCAUGGAAAUGUGGCUUAGUAACGUGUGUGCACCCGUGUGUUUAUGUGUGUGUAUGUAUGUGUGUGUGUGCAUGUGUAUGUAUAUGUAUAUGUGAGUGUCUGUAUGUGAGCAUAUAUGUAUGUGUGUGUUUAGGGGUAUACAUGUGUGUAUGUGUGAGUGAAUGUAUAUAUGUGUAUAUGUGUGGGCAGGUGUGUGUGUGUUGUAUGGGAGCAUUUGUGUGCAGCUUCGCCUGUGCACACCUCAUAGAGAGAUGAGGAGGACCUGUGUGCCCUGCUCUCACUCCCUCUGCUGUGUUUCCUUUAAGACAGGGUCACUCACUGAGCCUAGAGUUAGGUUGGUGGCCAGGAAGCCCCAGGGAUCCUCCUGUCCCCACUCCCCAUGGCAUCAGGGUUAGAGGCAAGGGAGUGACCAUACCUUCUGUUAAUGUAGGUUCUGGAUAUUUGAACGCAGGUCCUUGUGCUUGCUCAGCCAGCACCGUUUCCUACGUUUCCUACGGAGCCGUGGAUUUGAUCUUCCUGUGGCUUUCAUUUGCAUUUUUCACGAAAGCAAAGCGGGGGCCUUCCUAUAGCUUUAUCCUAGGAUGCCUUCACCUGCCAAUAUUGUUUGGACCCGUUAAGGGUCUGGAGAUGUCCUGUGCGAGCCAAGCCUCCUUCUGCCCCAGGCUCUGCUUUUCCUUCCUGCUAAUGAAGUUGUCAAGUUCUUUCUCCGUCAGUCAGACACAUGGUUCUCCAGGACCCGACUCCAUCUCCUCUACACUUUGUUGCUGCUUUUGAGCCCCUCCCUAUGACAAUAUAAAAAGAGGGGGGAGCAGAAGGAAGCCAGGCUCAGCCAUCAUCUCACUCCCUCUUCUGCAGGCCGGGAAGCAUCCUGGCACCCCUCUCCCUGAUGUGGAAGCGCUGUUCCAGCACGGAAGUCUGUGACGUUUGUGUGUGUGGUGUGGUUGUUGUCACGGGAGGCAGCGGCAGCCAUGUCACUCUCCACAGACACAUGGUAGGUCUGAGGAAAUGAAUGGAUGAGCGUGUAGGUUUUCCAAAGAGUUCUCCAGCCUACGACUGCCCAGAGAGCUGCCUCCAGCUUCUCAUUCUGAUGCCUGUGCUGGAGACACCACAAUAAACAUCGUUUUGAAGUCGACCAGAA